This 253-nucleotide ribosomal RNA is filed under the name uncultured bacterium. Its description in RNAcentral is "partial 16S ribosomal RNA". It matches the Rfam family "Bacterial small subunit ribosomal RNA", at positions 524 to 776 of the family's 1533-position model. The record is from RNAcentral.
UACGUAGGGUGCGAGCGUUUAUCGGAAUUACUGGGCGUAAAGCGUGCGCAGGCGGCUUUGCAAGACAGAUGUGAAAUCCCCGGGCUCAACCUGGGAACUGCAUUUGUGACUGCAAGGCUAGAGUACGGCAGAGGGGGAUGGAAUUCCGCGUGUAGCAGUGAAAUGCGUAGAUAUGCGGAGGAACACCAAUGGCGAAGGCAAUCCCCUGGGCGUGUACUGACGCUCAUGCACGAAAGCGUGGGGAGCAAACAGG